Molecule: ribosomal RNA, 783 nt
Filed under: uncultured bacterium
Lineage: Bacteria
Description: bacterial SSU rRNA
Rfam family: Bacterial small subunit ribosomal RNA
Source: RNAcentral
GGUGAGUAACGCGUUGGUGACCUGCCCCAAAGUGUGGGAUAACAGUCCGAAAGGAUUGCUAAUACCUCAUGUGGCCAUCGGGUUUAGAAACCGAUGUCUAAAGCAGCAAUGCGCUUUGGGAGGGACCUGCGUCCCAUCAGCUAGUUGGUGAGGUAACGGCUCACCAAGGCGACGACGGGUAGGGGGCCCGAGAGGGUGGCCCCCCACAAUGGAACUGAAACACGGUCCAUACACCUACGGGUGGCAGCAGUAGGGAAUAUUGCACAAUGGGCGAAAGCCUGAUGCAGCAACGCCGCGUGAGCGAUGAAGGCCUUCGGGUCGUAAAGCUCUUUUCUGGGGAGAGGAGAAAGGACAGUAUCCCAGGAAAAAAUUUUGGCUACUCCUGCACCCCAACCCCGGGGUAAAACGUAAGGAGGCAAGCGUUAUCCGGAUUCACUGGGCGUAAAGCGCGUGCAGGCGGUUUGGUAAGUUGGGCGUGAAAUCUCCCGGCUCAACUGGGAGGGGUCGUUCAAAACUACCAGACUCGAGAGCGAUAGAGGGAAAAUGGGAAUCCCGGUGUAGUGGUGAAUGCGUAGAUUUCGGGGGGAACACCAGUGGCGAAGGCGAUUUUUCUGGACGUUUCUGGCGCUUAGACCCGAAAGCUAGGGUAGCAAACCGGGAUUUAGGAGGACCCCGGGUUGUCUUACUUGUAAAACAAUGUAAACUUGGCGUUGGUGGGCUAAACUCAUUGGGCCCGACCUAACGGGUAUAGGUUCCCCCCGGGGGGCAUCCGGCCGCGGGGUU